Gossypium hirsutum (cotton) is the source of this 106-nucleotide non-coding RNA. NCBI's taxonomy places the organism in Eukaryota, Viridiplantae, Streptophyta, Magnoliopsida, Malvales, Malvaceae. The record is from Rfam.
AAUCCAUGGUGUUGGCAUUUUUGAAUUAGUGUCUUAAAUUGCUCCCAUGCUUUGUGAAAGCUUUCCUUUUUGAACUAUUUGAACAUUGAAAUUUCCAUUCUUAGCU